AAACGGUAGGUAGGCGGCGGAUGUGUGACGUUUGAAGUUGUCGUUCGUACACCUGUCCCCAAUGGAAGAAUGAGUGAGAUUUUCCCCUGCAUAUCAUGGCCUUACCACUCGGUCCCCGAUGGCCAGUGGGGGAUUCGGUAUAGCAGCUCACGUUCCUUUGCGCUGCGCGUUCCCGCUAGACUGGACACAUCUUAGCUGUAGGAAGUAUGGUUUCGAAAGUGACUUCGGUUCGCCAGUUCAGGCUCAACUCCUCGCUUUACGUU
This 263-nucleotide long non-coding RNA is filed under the name Olea europaea (common olive). RNAcentral describes it as "long non-coding RNA (OEUR_LNC002346)". The record is from RNAcentral. Lineage: Eukaryota; Viridiplantae; Streptophyta; Magnoliopsida; Lamiales; Oleaceae.